Diceros bicornis minor is the source of this 557-nucleotide long non-coding RNA. RefSeq lists it as uncharacterized. The record is from RefSeq and is a predicted model, not a curated record. The transcript has 5 exons. NCBI's taxonomy places the organism in Eukaryota, Metazoa, Chordata, Mammalia, Perissodactyla, Rhinocerotidae.
GCUGCUGCAUUUCUCAACAACUGUUCUCAGCUACACAAAGAUCCAGCUAAAGCUCUGAAAUGAAUAUAUGACAAAUGGCAGCCCCAAAGGGACCCAUCUGGCCCUACAGCUGAUUUUCCACUCGCAACCAGGAGUGAGGUAACCAGAAAUGCAUGGAGCACAGCAGGCUAGCCUGGGCUUGUUCCCAUGAUGGCAGAAGAGCUCUCAGCAACAAGAUUGGUGAUGGAGAAAAAAAAACCUCAUUGUUUAUUAACACACAGUCAAGAUAGAGAAAGUGAGAAUUAUUUAAACUACACGAGGCUUUUUGGUGAAAGCUGUUUGGGGAAGAAUUAUUUCUACAAAUCUUUGUGGAUUGCAAUUGGAUCAGUGUGACAGGAGUUUAAAUGAAGCCCUGGACAGUGACUUCUGGAAGUAACACAUGAAGAUGUAAAGAACAAAAUCUGAGAUCACUGUUCUAAAGUCAAAUUUCUUUUGCUUAGGACAUAACUACUCCCAUGGAGAACAAUAUAAACAUAUUACAUUUGACACUUGAACUGGUUAAGUUUAUUAUGACAGGC